Molecule: small nucleolar RNA, 133 nt
Filed under: Dasypus novemcinctus (nine-banded armadillo)
Lineage: Eukaryota; Metazoa; Chordata; Mammalia; Cingulata; Dasypodidae
Description: Small nucleolar RNA SNORA42/SNORA80 family (ENSDNOG00000027672.2)
Rfam family: Small nucleolar RNA SNORA42/SNORA80 family
About the family: The members of this family belong to the H/ACA class of snoRNAs that guide the sites of modification of uridines to pseudouridines.
Source: RNAcentral
GCAUGGGCUUGGUAUUUAUGGCAAGCCCGUCCCCCUGGACUUCUCACUGUGUCCCACGGCAGAGCUAACUGUAGCCCCAAACCAUUGCCUGGCCUUGUCCACAGGCCUUGACAUGGAAGCGGGUUGCACAGUA